Molecule: RNase P RNA, 303 nt
Filed under: Theionarchaea archaeon DG-70
Lineage: Archaea; Methanobacteriati; Methanobacteriota; Theionarchaea
Also listed under: 1 other name
Description: RNase P RNA component
Rfam family: Archaeal RNase P
About the family: Ribonuclease P (RNase P) is a ubiquitous endoribonuclease, found in archaea, bacteria and eukarya as well as chloroplasts and mitochondria.
Source: RNAcentral
GUGGGCGGUCGGCGGCUUCGGACGCCAUGUCUGAGGAAGUUCUGUCCAUGAGGUUGGGAACCGUAGCUCUUCAUGAGCCUGGCGAAAGUCAGGGUAAAGCACAGAAACAACACGGCCUCUACAAGAUGAUGAUGAGACAGCCCAUCUGUCGAUGAUUGUGGUGGAAGCGGUGAAAAGCUCCCUUACGGUCAUGCAAGACCAAAUGAUGCUGAUGAAAGCCCAGCCAGAGGUAAAGGUGGGUCGCUGAGUGGAAUGCCGCAGGUGGCGUUGCCACGUACAGAAGACAGACUAUAGGCCGCCCAC